GAUCAUUUCUGAGUCAUUGCUGGAGAGCAGAAGCAGACAGCUGAAUCACAGCUCAGAAAACUGUAAUGAGCUGAGCAGCAUUACAGCUUGUUUCACUUAAUAUUUAUUCUUAAAACAUGACUUCAUUUGUGACGGCUAUACUUGGAGAUCCAGAUACAAGUCCAGCGUGUUUGCCGUAACAAGUUAAUGUGAUGAAAUAUGGAAAAACCUAUUUGCCUCUGUCUUCAAAAUUUGCACAAAGCUCCUUUCUGGUGAGGAUUGUGUUGCACUGAUCUCUACACAUUUUCCUGGCAUGCAAUCCUGUUUGGCCCUUUAUGGGAUUGGUACAAAGACCCUGUGUCUACCUUCCCAGUGAGCUGCAUAAGAGACUGGACACAGUAGAGACACACACAAAGGGUCUGUGAAGUGCUAUGGAGAGGACCCCCCCAGCAGCCUCUGCUGUCAUCAUAUCCACUGUGAAUCAGUUCCGCCCUUCCCUGAUUGCAUCUGUCUGAAAAUAAACCUCUCUGAAAGUGCUCGUUGGUGAUAAUCAUUUUACUGGACAUUUUAUCAGGAGGCAGAGCCAAUUGAUGUGGUGUAACACAGAG
This 587-nucleotide long non-coding RNA is filed under the name Pongo abelii (Sumatran orangutan). RNAcentral describes it as "lincRNA". Lineage: Eukaryota; Metazoa; Chordata; Mammalia; Primates; Hominidae. The record is from RNAcentral.